RNAcentral lists this ribosomal RNA (486 nucleotides) under uncultured bacterium. RNAcentral's name for it is "partial 16S ribosomal RNA". It matches the Rfam family "Bacterial small subunit ribosomal RNA", at positions 28 to 523 of the family's 1533-position model. The record is from RNAcentral.
GAUGAACGCUGGCGGCGUGCUUGACACAUGCAAGUCGAACGGUGAACUCAGGAGCUUGCUCUUGGGGGAUCAGUGGCGAACGGGUGAGUAACACGUGAGCAAUCUGCCCCGGACUCUGGGAUAAGCGUUGGAAACGACGUCUAAUACUGGAUAUGAAACGCGAAGGCAUCUUCUGCGUUUGGUAAGAAUUUCGGUCUGGGAUGGGCUCGCGGCCUAUCAGCUUGUUGGUGAGGUAAUGGCUCACCAAGGCGACGACGGGUAGCCGGCCUGAGAGGGUGACCGGCCACACUGGGACUGAGACACGGCCCAGACUCCUACGGGAGGCAGCAGUGGGGAAUAUUGCACAAUGGGCGCAAGCCUGAUGCAGCAACGCCGCGUGAGGGACGACGGCCUUCGGGUUGUAAACCUCUUUUAGUAGGGAAGAAGCGAAAGUGACGGUACCUGCAGAAAAAGCACCGGCUAACUACGUGCCAGCCGCCGCUGUAA